Molecule: ribosomal RNA, 501 nt
Filed under: uncultured bacterium
Lineage: Bacteria
Description: partial 16S ribosomal RNA
Rfam family: Bacterial small subunit ribosomal RNA
Source: RNAcentral
AUUGAACGCUGGCGGAAUGCUUUACACAUGCAAGUCGAACGGCAGCACGGGGGCAACCCUGGUGGCGAGUGGCGAACGGGUGAGUAAUACAUCGGAACGUGCCCAGUCGUGGGGGAUAACGUAGCGAAAGUUACGCUAAUACCGCAUACGAUCUACGGAUGAAAGCGGGGGACCGUAAGGCCUCGCGCGAUUGGAGCGGCCGAUGUCAGAAUUAGGUAGUUGGUGAGGUAAAGGCUCACCAAGCCGACGAUCUGUAGCUGGUCUGAGAGGACGACCAGCCACACUGGGACUGAGACACGGCCCAGACUCCUAUGGGAGGCAGCAGUGGGGAAUUUUGGACAAUGGGCGCAAGCCUGAUCCAGCCAUUCCGCGUGCAGGACGAAGGCCUUCGGGUUGUAAACUGCUGUUGUACGGAACGAAAAGGCUCUGGUUAAUACCUGGGGCUCAUGACGGUACCGUAAGAAUAAGCACCGGCUAACUACGUGCCAGCCGCCGCCGUAA